Molecule: long non-coding RNA, 622 nt
Organism: Chrysemys picta bellii (western painted turtle)
Lineage: Eukaryota; Metazoa; Chordata; Testudines; Emydidae
Source: RefSeq, a predicted model, not a curated record
AGCAACAGGAAAGGGUGCGGGAAGGAGUGUGGAACUGAAAUCUGCAGCUUGUUGUGAACGAAAUGACUGUGGAAGACCCACCCCUCACUGUAGCAGACCGUCUGUGACACAUAAGCGGCCAAGAUGCACUAAGGCAGACAUGUUUCGUGAGGUGAUUCUGCACUCUGAAGCGGAGACACAUGAUAAAAAUAAAUGGAGAGAAACCAUGACAAACUGGAAAGAGGGAGAGAACCGAGACCAAAAAGAGAAUAAUGCAUUCCAUAGGGAAGCCACGGGGAGGCUAAUCAGCGUUCUGGAGCAUCAGACAGAUAGGUUGCAUUCUCUCAUUACACUGCCGAGUGACCUGAUUCGUGCCCGCCCCCCAUUGCAGCAAGUGCAGAAUUCUUUCCCAUGCACUCCCCAAACUCCCACUGCACAUUCUUAUAGGCUCACUGCAAAUUUUUCCAUGCCUCAACAAUCCACACCCCCAGACAGCUUGUCAAACAACAGCUGGCGUUACACACAGCUGUGAGGUAUACGGGCCCCCCACCCUGAACACCACCAUCACUGAGGAUGGAUAUAUGUGCAUAUGGUGUUUUCUCUCUUUUUUUUUUUUAAAUAAAAAGCACACAUUUUUCAAAAA